AUUGGUGGGAGGGCCAAUGGCAGGUGAAAACCUUUUUUUGAUUGGCUAAAGACAGAGUAUCAAAUCUGAAUUUGCAUUUCACUUGCUUAAAGGGGAGGGGGAGAAGCCCAGCAGCUUCUAAAAUCUCUUUUAGGGGUGUGCGUAGGUGCGUGUGUCUGCCUGCUUCAGACUGCCCAGUUGAAGCGUCUUCCUUUACCUUUUUAAAAAUUUUAGGAGCUAUGAGGAAGAGCUUAAAAUGCCUCAAACUUUUUAUUUUUGAGGGAGGAGACUGGGGAGAUGGAUUUGAAGAGGAUUGACCAAAUUGGAAGAAAAUAUUUGUCCUCUGCUUUGGUGUCAGAAAAGGGAAUUUUCCAAUCUGCCACACCUCAGUGUUGCAGCAAAAAUAAUUCUUGGCUCCCCUGGAAACCAUCGGGCAAGGUAGGGCAGAACUGCUGCUGCUGUCGCCGUAACCCUGGGCUUCCUAUUGAAUGGGCUGCUCCCAAGUGAAAGGAUCUGCACUGAUGCUCUGGUCAUCUAAAAGUCCUCGAAUCAGCUCUGAGCUGAGCCCACCAUUGGAAGAACCUGCCUUUUGGGAGCUGCCGCUACCUUGUGCUUGGAAAGGGAACUCGACAGAGUAGAGUUCCAGCUGUAAGCAGGGGACAAUCUCUUGGCAACUCGGGCUCAGCUGAGGACGUUGUUUGUGCAUCUAAGCCAUCAUAUGCAGCAGUUUGCUUGCAGUUGUGUGGAACUGCAAAGAGGACCUGCUUGACCACCCUGCUUUCUGUAGAUGCUGAUAGAUGAACAGUCAUGCUGGAUGAGGUUGCUGAGGUGGGAUGAGGAUGCCAUGUUUAGAGAAGGAAAGACUUGGAGCACUCCCUGUGGCCAAAGGUGGUUAUGCCCUACAUCAAACCCCAGCUUCCAGUGGCUCCUCUGUUUCGCGCUUGAUUUGCUCCACUCAGAGAUACCUUUUGACCUUUCCUCAUUCUUGUGGACCUUUUACUCUCUGCGUUCUUGGUUACUGGCCCAACAGCCGUGUUUAUUCUUCCUCUUCUCUUCUCUUCUCUGCCUUAAUUCCCAUUAAACAAGGCAGAAAGGGGUGAUUGUCUUGGGAAGGAAGGUGGUUAGUAAAUAAAAGCCCAUGGUGUUGAGUGGUAAGGCAUAGUAGGUUAGAUAGUUUUCCUUCUUGUAAGUACUGUUGAGCCACCAAAUUGUGUGAUUCCCUGACCUCAAGUGUAGUCUAAUAUAAUGUGGACCUGGUCUUGUUGGUAGAUUAAUAUCAGGCUGCUGAUUAGAAACUAGAAGCAACAAAUCCUGAUCCUGACUCUAAGGUAGGUGGCAUAUGGCUGCUUCCUAGCUCCAUUACCUUAAACUUUAUCAUUCCAGACCUCACCCUUAACCUUCCAAAAAGUACCCUUUUCUUUCCGUUCUCCCAUCCCUGGCUUUUCUGUAGAUGGGUAACUAGCAGAGUACUAGCAUAAAGGGAGCCUGCUCAACUAGCUAGGCUGUGAGAUGUUUGGGAACCAUCUGGGUAGCACUGUAGACAGGGUGUGGCAGUAGCUGUUUACCUGGGUUUCCCACAGUCAGGGAAAGGAAGCCCCUUUGCUACUGACAGCUAUUCAUUACAACUUGAGCUUAUUCACUGUGUAAUUCCCAUAGCAUCCCUGAGGUCCUGGGAGCUGCCCAGGGUGCAGACAUGCUCUUUCCUUUUCAGAGUGGGUAUUUGUCUUACUCUCGACACACUGAGCUUCAAGGGGACUUAGGGUAAAUCUGGGAUCUGUAGUUUAGACUGGGCUGAGCAGUAACUGGAUUCUGGAUUUUUCCCUACUUGGAAUUUUCCUUUGAGGCUUUCAAUUGUCUUCAAAGUAUCUGCAGGCCAACAGGGAUAUGCUUUUCCUCUGCCUUACAAUAACAGCAGUGUUGAGUUAAAGUGAUGAUGUCCCUCAGAACUGGGAAGACAGCCCCAUUGUAAACACAAAUGAGAAAACAGCAGGUGCUUGCUAUGACAUCCAAAAGUCCCUGUUCAUCAAUAGCCAGAGGUCUAGGGUCUAAGGAGAAAAGGAGUAAUUCUGGAUAAUUCUACUAGGUACCUGUGAGAUCUCAACCCCAGCUCUCUACUGCACCAUGUAGAUGUGUUUCUCUGUCCCUGCCCCCUCCCUCUACUGUCCAAGGAAGACUAAUGAAUCUUACCUCAUGUGGUAUUGUUUCUCCCUUUGAGGCAAGCCUCUGAGGUCCUUGCUAAGAAAAGUCAGUUUGGAUGAGUUGUCUGUUACUUCAAGGAGCUGAACAAGUUCAGUCACUGCCUCAGUGGUGUGUAAGGGAGAGCAGGGGGUUGGAAGGACUGAUGUUUAAAUGGAGAGGUAAGUUGGAGGUGGAAAGGAAUAAACCUAGUUCAGAAUGAUACUCACGGGAGGACUAGAGCCACAUGUGCUUAAGUACAAUCUAAUGCCUUGCCCCUAGUCCCCAGCCUGGCUUCUGCAGUAUGACAGGCAAUAUUGUGUGUUGCCAGCCGAGCAAGCAAGACAGUUACCAUGCCUUGAGUAGGAUCUAGGCAUGCCUGGCACUUUCUCCUUGGCCUCUGAGUCUCUAGUUCUAGAAGACAGUUGUGGUACUGAAGCUGAGACAACAUGGCUAUAGAAUACAAAGUACCUUACCCAGGCCCCUACGGUCUCACCAUCUGGGUUCUACUGAGUCCUGUUCUUACUGGGACUAUGAAUUGUUCAGUGGAUAUCUUGCUCUAUUUUCUGGCUUGGGUAUGUCUCCAGUACUGUAGCUUUACAGGAGGAUGUGAAUGCUCAAAGGUCAUUUUUUAAUAUACAUAUAGCCAGCCUUUGGGAUAAGUAAGAGAUACUGCCCUUUUGAUUACCCUGCUGUCUAUGGGAGGUCCUUGUUUUCCUUUAUUUUUCUGAUCAGUGGCCAUGAGAAAAGUAUACACUGGGUUUGGUUCCUUGCUGGUUCCUUCCAACAGCUUUUGCACUGAUAAACAAGAAGCCUUAUAGUUUGUGCAGAGCUUGGUGGAAUGAUACCUAUAUGGGUAGAGUAUAGAAAUAGGAUGGAGGGAGCCUCAAAGGCCAUGUUUCUUGGAUAAAAGGAACAAGUCAUGAGGUUGGAUAUGUGGGAAGACAUAGACAAAUGUCUAGACUCUAGGUAGGGUGGAGUCCGGAUGAAACUCUAAUGAGGCAAGGAGAUGGGAUCAGAUAUCUCAGUCUCCAUAUGCCAUCCAUGGAAAAGGAGACUGCCCUCCCACCCUUUGCUAACACAGAUAUUACUUCCCUUUUAUUGUUAUAAAAGUGUGAUUAUUAAAUGACUUAAGUUGAAUUCACACAAUUGAUGAGUGAUGUUGAGAUUUGAGUCACCACUUCUGAUUCCAAAGCCUCAUUUUCUCCUAACCCUUGGGCUGAAGUCCGACAUUUUUGUGAAUUAACAUCCCCAGGAAACAAUAAAAUCUCCAGUAUUAGCAAACUAUGUCCCAGUAAGGCUGUCCACAUUCCUGUUUGGGGGAGGUGUGGCAGAUGUUACUUGGUGUCUAUGGAAAUGAAAAAUAACUUCUAGAUAUUGGUGGAUGUACUCAGAGCUAGAGGUACAGAGCCCUGAGACUAGCUUUCUUCUUGUGCUGUGGGUAUAAGGUUGUCUUUAAUAUAGCAGCAUAAAAUAUAGAGUAGCCAUAGAUUCCAUUGUAUGUGAAGGAAGAGGAAGACACAUUGAAAAUACAGUGACUAAUUUCUGUCAUAUUAGCACUCAGGAAACUGAAGCAGGAGAAUUGAGUUCUGAGCUAGCCUGGGCUAGCUUAGAUUAAGACCCUGUCUCAAGCACCCUCCUCCUCCAAAAGGAAAAAAAAAAAAAAAAAACACAAGGAAAACACAUUGAGGAGAGUGGAAAGAGGAGGUCCAGAUGAUAGAUAACCAAGUCCAUGUUAGUUGGGCUGUCUUCCAGAAGGUUAGAAUUGUUAUGGAUUCCAUCUCCUCUUUUAUCUAGUUAAACACAUCUUCACAAGUUGUCAGUAGCUUACAAAAGCAUGUACUGGGUUAGGAAGUGGUGGGAGGAGAGGACAGACUCUGAGUCACCAGCUUAAUGUUAAGUCACUGACAGUACAUGCCUGCCGUGGGCUAAUUUGAAUUGUGGUCUCUCCUGGGACCAUGGUUUCUAUAGGGAAUGGACAGGACCAGGUUGGGAGAAGUCACCCGUAGUUAGGUGCUGUGUGCACAUUGUGUGUUCUGUGAGGUUAAGGCAGGCCAGUGGUGCUAAUCCGUAAGAGCUUCUGCUCCAUGUGAUCUACCUCAGGAUUCAGAACUCACUUACCGGGGAGGAGGUAGCUAAGGUGAGCCAUAUGCAAUUCCCUCCUCCUAGGCCUGACACUGCUACUUGGGACUACUUAAAAUAUAGGAGCUGCCACUGGCUGAAGAUGUGUGUUUAGAAGUUACAGCAUGGAGAGGUCAGUCAGGGAACGUGGAUUCAUGUUGUUUUGUGUUCAUGCCUGUGUUCUCACUUUGCUUGUCUAUGAUACGAUAGACAAGCAAAUGAAUGAGGAUCCUGUUGGAGGUUCCCACUGAUCUUACCCCUUAGGCCUGUCCUGAAUAUUUGUGAAGGUUUUGUUUAGCUAGAAACUUGAAGUCAGGAAAAUGAACCCAAGUUGUGAAGAGAGAAAGGAGGGAUCUUGAAGGCCUAAGAGCAGCCAAGUUUAGUUCCAAAGAGGCACUGUGGUACUAGCGUGAAUGACAAUUGCUGAUGAACAUUAAGGGGGUAGUAGAAGUGGGUUUUGGAUGGGUGGCAGUGAAAAGAAGGGGUUAGCUGAGUGGAGGUAGCUGGUGAGGACUUACCAGGUGGCAGGAUGUGACACUGUUCCCUCUUAGAGACAAGUAGGAGAUAAGCAUACGGGAGCUGGCUGUGGUGCAGGGCUCCAAUUGAGAGACCAUGUAUGUUCAAGGAAGGUAUUCUGCUCAAGGCCUGCCUUUGUGCGGAGAGGACUUUGUGUUUAUUUACCCUCUUUUUCUUGUACGGUUGAGACUCUAGCCUAGCUACAAUGUGACAAAAAUUCUCCAAAGCUGCCUGAGUAGGAGCCCCUGUGCCAAGGGACAUGUAGAACAGUCUUAAGGAUGUAAGGUGCUUUAAGGAGCCUUAAAGUCACUCCACAGAUCUCUUCACGUUAGCUGGUUCACUGGGUCUUUGCAUAACACUGAGCAGAGAUUGGUCCUGCCAUCAUUGAACAGAGCCGGGAGGAACCCUCUCAGAACCACAUUGCUUGUUUCGCAUUUCUAACCUAGGUCCCCUGUUCCAGCUAGACCAGGGGUUGGAGUGGAACUUUGAGGUCCUUGACAUUGUCUGCGUCUGAGAUCUUCACUUUUUACUGUGUACACUGGAGAGAGGAAGCUCCUGAUGCCUUUAUUCUCUCUCCCACUGCUUCUCUGACUCCUUGGAGCUCUUGUGCUGUCUGGCUUGCACUUCUUGGCUACAAUGCCAGGCAUUCCCCAUGUUCCUGAAGAGAUAUCUUGUUAAGCCAUUUCCACACCUUCAUAGAAUUUUCCCUGUGAAUUCAGGCAUAUUUCGGGUGUGUGUUGCUCACUGAGAGAGGAAGUCUCACUGUGGCAUCUUGAAGGUUUUCCCAUCCUAUUUGUGAGGGAUGCCUGGAGCUUCCUCAGUAAGUAUAUCAUGUUUGUGUUAUCUGUUUGCUGGCUGACAUGUAUCACCCACUGGAAGCACUGGCUAAUGCAUUGCGUAGUUAGAUGCUAGAGAUACUGUCAUCAGCUCAGAACCCCUUCUUCAUGAUCAGUAUAGGAGAGUGGACCUCCCCUGUAUAUGAAAAUCGGGUGAGAGGAGUGAUGGGCCCUAGGCCUCUUUGAAUCCUGAAAACAGUCCUCAUUCUUUUAAGGGUACUGAGGGGAAGUAUUGCACUGUAUCUCCUCUUGGCUAUUCAGCCUCUAAGUGACCUUUAUUUUAAUAGGCCCAGGGUUCUGGUAGAGGGCUAGAGAAGUGCUUACCUUCACUUAUCAUGGACUUAGGCAUGAAGUGGUUAGACUUUCUCUGAGAGUGUUCCAUUCAGAACAAUUGAGGUUGGGUGGGGUCAGCAAACAUCUGGGUCUGUUUAUAUGUGUCUGUCUCUGUGUUCCCUGAACAAGUCUGUUUGUGAAUGAGAAGACACAUGGGAACACUUUUGGGUGGAUGCGUUUAGCAGCCUCCUGUUACUUUGUUCCGUAUUAGAGCUGGUUGUUUCUAGUCACCUGGAGAAUGCAAAAGAGAGUGGAUCCAACCCACAAUUGUGAGGGAAAUUCAUGUAGGUAUCAUGAAAAGCCUGUUUAUAACUUUGCUAAGUUCCCAGGGGGAGAUAGAACUUCCUGAGGAGACAUUGUCUGCUCUUGUCAGGUCUGUUUCGUUCUGAGGCUAUGGUACUUUGAAACUGUGUGUGGCCAAGUUACUAGGAUAUAAAGUGGCUCCUUGGUUCUACCUUAUUUCAACCUCACCUACCUUUGUGGCAUCCUUAAGGAGGGAGACUGAGAGAGACAAUGUAGGCAUAGAACCUGGGACUACAACCCAUUUACCUUUGCACAGAGUAUUUCUGACACUGAGCUUAGGAAUGAAUUGUUCUUAAGUCUCAUACAAGAAGUAGAGAAAGUAUAUGCUAUCUCUCAUAUCUUCCGGGGAAGAUCAUGCUAUCCCUGCACUUUUGUAUCAUUACUACCUGUAUCCUGGGCCAUUCCUCCCAGUGAAGGGUACUCUUGACAAGGAUUGUGAGUGGCAAGAUCAGAUGAGAUUUUCUAGACGAGUUUUCUAGAAGAGUUUCAGUAAAUCCACAGCUUUGGCAGUCACAGGUACUGUCUACGGUGCUAGAGGCUUAGGUGUAUGUUCACGUAGAUAGACUACCUAGCAGAACUCCAGAGUGUAAGAGAAUUAGUUACUGGCUCAAUGAAAGUUAUAUUAAGUGUGGACAAUUCUGUGUCCUUUUGCUUUAUUGUCAGCAGUAUGUUCAGUAUCAGAAGACUGGACAUGUGGACGGGCUGGGGAUGCUUAAGUGAGCUGGAUCCUGAGUUCACACUUGCUGUUCACCUUCUCCCUCCUUUCAUCUCUGUUUCCGACUGUCUUGCAUCCCUUAGCCAUUUCUGAACACACUCAUUUGUCUAUGGAGGAUCAGAUGCACAAAUGCUGAAGCCCCUCUGUGAAAUGGAAUUAUUUUCACUUAAUUUACACAUACCCUUGUAUGAACUCUUUGAGCCAUGCCCAGAUUUCUUCUAAUACCUAAUUCAAAGAAAAUGCUGACAAAUUCUUUUAAGAAUUCUUUAGAGGAUAGUGACAAAAAAAAAAAAGUCUGUGUAUAUAAGGUAAAGACGUAGUUCAUGGACAGUGAUUGGAGUGGAUUGAUACACAACCUGGGGAUAUAGAAAGCUGACUAUAGGCACCUUCGAAGUUACAUUGCUACAUUCUUGGAGUACAGUUCUUCUGGUAUCCGUGAAUUGAGUGACCUUGAUCUGGAGUGUAAAUAGACUACCCACUGCAGGGAUCCUGUCUCCAGGUUUAGCUUCCCAUUGGCCUCAGCAGAGAACAGUUUUCCCUAUAGUAUGUACCUAAUUUUUGGACAGUGGUUGUUUAGGUAUGCAAAUCCUAAACCCAGUUAGCUGUUAUUUCUUUUACGCUGAAAUCCUAAUGACCUUGGAUGUCUAAGACCUUGGCUAUCACUCUGCUAGGUAAGAAAGUCCAGCGUGAGUUGGCACAGAGAAGGAGGGGACACUGCCUCUGGCCAUGGCUGCUCUCCAAAACAGGUGAACUUUGUGUUUGAAAGGAAUGCAUUUAAGCUUUUGGGCCUAAUAGAAGUUACUUGUAUUUUCUCUCCUUUUUGCCCCUUCCUUCUCUCCUUUACCCCUCCCCCACCCUUGCUGCUUUCUCAACCACCAAAGAAUUUAAUCUGCUGCACAACAAACAAUACAGUUAUAAAACUUUGAAAACAAAAGGGUGUAGCCUCCCCAACAAGGGAAAGGGCAUGCUGGGUAAUGUCUCCAGGGAACAUGCCAGGCUUGUAUAGAGCCUGUGAGAGCCUAAUUGACUGGGUAUCUGGGUGUCUGCCCUGCCCAGAGCUAAGGUAUCUCUAGUCCAAAGAAGAAGGAAUUCAAAUGAAAGAGGUCAGAGAAGGGCUUACAAAAGGGAAGUUGUGUAUUUUCUCCCUCUGAUUUGAUGCUAAUGCAGUAAACUUUGCAACUUCCUUGUCUCCUUUUUCAUUUUGUCCCUCCUACCUCCCUUCACCCUCCACCUCCUCUUUCCUAAUGUUUUUGAGACUAGCAGACAGAAGUCAUGAUAACAGAAAAGGGUUAGAAUAGCAGUGUAGGUGCUACUACUGGCUGGGCCUGCCAAAGAUGAAACGGGGCUUGAGGCUUUUCCUGCCUACAUGCUCAGACCAGUCUCUGCUAAGCCCAGCCUCCUCCUCUGACCUGAGGCAGUGUAGCCACAUAUACAUCACAGUGUGCCCCAGUCUUUAUACUUCUAGGUAUGUACCCAGGUACUGGGCAGAACUACCACCAAGAAGUCAGUGGGUCCACCCUGCGUUCCUUAGGGCUGUGCUGAGGGGAUGGCGAAUUGAUAGGAUCUUUGCUAUGAGUGGUUUUGCCCUCUACAGGAGAAGCAAGGCUUUUGCAUAGAACUUAGUUGCUGAGAACCCAAUAAGUAAGCACAUGGUUUGGUGAGUAUGGCCCCAGAUGGGAUGUUAUGCCUGUCCUCUUAUCUUAAGAAACAUGGAACCUUGUUUCUUAGCAGUAGGAGGAGGAAUAGGCCAGUUCUGGCUAAAGGAGAGGUAGGGAAGUUGGACUUGAGUAUCUCUUGAGUAUCUUCCUGACCUGAUGAAGCUAGUAUCUCCUUACUGAGUCUGUCUCCUCUGAGCUGUAUAGACUAUUUAAGAAUGUUGUUGGAGUGGGCUGUUUGGAUCUAGGGCCAUGGGAGACUACAGGCAGGCUUAUCUUUCCUCUUCUGGCAAGCUUUAGCCUCCACGAAAGUGGUCUGGGCUGUGUUUCUUUUGCCUAUAAGAGCAAAGCUUUCUGCCAUAGCCAGGGUACAUUGCACUCUGGUCUAUACUCUGUACCUCCUUCUCUCCUCCUACACCUUGUGUAUUUCAUCCCAGAAGGCAGUGUGGUACCAUGCACUGUGUAGCCCAGAUAGGGUCCUGUGCCAGUACCUUAGUGCUCUGUACAGAAUUUUACUGAGUUUAGGAGUUUUUGAGACCCAAGACUUGUUCAGUAGCAUUAAGGAGGGAGGCAGAAAACCUAACCUUUAGAAAUGUCCUUGCCCAGGAACAUAGGCAAAUGUCCUUAUCUCUGAUUCAGUGGAACCAGGAGACUCAGUGCUGGCCCCCACAGGCUUCUGAACUUCUCCCUCAGUUGCCCAAGCAGGUACUUGAGAGACAUGCUGAAUCUUACCAUGACAGCUAAAGACAAAAUGUCCUGGAUGCUGGGCCUGGGCUGCUGCUGAGUGUGACAAGAAGUCAGGCGCCCUCUUCAGCGCACAUAUACAGGUGGUCUGUUUUGGAGGUAAGAUGUUCCUUUAUCUGUUUAAAAAAAAAAAAAAAAAAAGACCUCAGUAGCCUUCUCUCCCAAAGAUGAGUUCUUCUAUCUGGUGGGAACUCCUCAAUCAGUCUUUAGAGGCACAGGCAAGGAAAUGGACGGCAGGCUUCUGGCUCCCUCCCCCACCCUGGCUGGAAUUCUCCUCAUGCACAUAGCUGUGACUCAGCACUUGCUGCUGGGUCAGGAGGGAGAAGCUAUUGCCUGGCUGGAACCCUCCCACAUUCUGCAUGUGAGCACAUAGAACAGCACAGGCUGGGCCAGCAUGGUGAGGUUCCUGGGGCAAGUAUUUUCUCCUCUAACCCAUAUUCUUCCCAUGUUUUUGGGAUUUCUGUUCUGGGCCCAGGGUAUUUAGGAUUCUAAAACCCAUUCCAUCGGCCAUAGACUGAAGUAUAAAUAGUCUUUUUCUACUUUGCUUUUAACCGGUGACCCAUGAAAGGUGUUUAACCUUUAUUUGUACUGUUUGGCUUUCGUGGUUUGGGUUUUGUAUGUGUUAAUUUUACAUCUAGACAGAAUAUGACUUUUCCAGAUUACCAUAACUCUCCUGCAUGCUGUUGUUGCCUCUGGCUAUGCGUGUGGGUGUGUUCUGACCAGUUUUCCCUAGCUUCUCUUAACAGAUGAAGACGCGGAAGCCAUUCAGGACUACGGCAGGGCCCUGGUCUCAGCAUACAGGCAAGCAGGUGUCUAAUUUACCAAGGAGUGACAUUGCCUCUACCACUCUGGCCCCUGCCUUACCAAAGGAGUGACCUGUCAUGGGAGGGUAGAAUGGAUUCCAGAGAGAAAUAGGCAUAGGAACAGAUGGAGGCUGGAGAGUGGUGUCUCAGUCUUCUUCCCUGCUCUCUGGCCUGUUCAGAACUGCGACAGGAGUCAGGGCGUCUUUUCUAGACAACCCCGUCGAACCCAGUAACUUUAAAGUUUACUUGAAGCCAUUUAGUUGAGGAGGGAAAUCCCAUUCUUCUCACUGAGAGCAGAGCCCUGACAGUCCUAAGGUUUUCCUGGGCGGCCCUCUUAGACAUUCAGGCCUGCUGCUAGAGAGCCACAGUCUUCCAGACUCAAUCACAUCAUCCAGCUAUUCCAACCUAGUGAAGAGUCACCGCCUUGUUUCAGAAAAGGGACAUUGCUCAGCUGACUACGGGAAUCCUGCUUUUAUAGGAUACUGAUGCCUGGAUGGGAUUGGAUGGACAAAAGGUUUAAAUGCUAGGACUACUUCUUUCCCUCCUCUGGAGUUCACUGCUUAAGGUAUCUACUUUUAGUGAUUCUUAUUGACCAGAAAGCAGGGUUUGCAGUCCAUGGAUAUAACCCUAGACCUUACCUUUUCUUCACUGGUAGUUUCCCCUUGCCAGGCACUUUAUUUGCUGGAUAGGAAGAAAGGAGUUAGCUUCAUGCCAUGUUGAGGACUAAAAGAAACAGGUGUUUUCUAAAUGAUAGCAAACUGGGAUAGCCUUAGAGAAAGCUUUCUAGAGCUGAGAGAGGAGAUACCAGCACAGGCAGAGCCUCCUGGGAGGAUGGCUGUGCCCUGGAUCCCUGCAGGAUAUCUCUUAGAGGGAGGGGAUUUAGGAUGCUAGAGGAAGUUGCUAGGAAGAUUUGGCUGAAAUGGAAAUGAGCAGAGCUGAGUAUUAUCAUAUGCAAAUCUCAUCUUCAUUUACAGGGUUUUGACCCUUGUUAAUAACUGCCAUCUAAUCUGUUUAUGACCUAAAGCCCUCCCUAUCACGGGGCCACAGGCCCUAAUUUUGGCAACCAGUGUCAGUGUCACUCAGGAACCCAGUGUAUAGAUCUGCCCAAACUCCUCUGCAGCUAAGGCCCUGGAAAGCCCCAGGGAAGAUGCUGGGCCUUCUGUUUCUCCUCUGGCUGGCCCAGUUUCUGAGACACUAAAGCCUGUGCAGUGUCAGCAUCGCUAGGCUUCAUUGCCAUCAUCUUCUCUAGUGCUAGGAAGAAUAAAGAGGCACCAGUCGGGCAAAAGAACAAAAGCAGGUUCUCCUAGACUACCUGGCCUCUUGCAGCACCAACAGCAUGUUCUUAUCUUCACCCAGGUAUAGCAUGUUUAAGGUGAGUCUCUCCACCCCCAUCCAGAUUGUCUGAGCUAAAUACCCCUCCCCAGUCUAGCUCAGAGUUCAGUUCAAGAGAAAGGAGGUCACACUCAAGCUGUGGAUCAAGCAGCAACAGUGGGCAGAGGGGAAGGAAUACAGACAUUAGCUCGUCGUAUCCUGUAACUACAGUUUCUGGUGCAGACUUCGGAAUAGUAACCCGCCUCAUUGGACUCUUGGAACAAUUAAGUAUUGUGACUCUGGAGGUAUUCACAUUAUAUCUGCUCGGUUACCCUAUAAUAGCCAGGAGCCAUAAAGAGAGAUGUCGGUAUCUGGAGGCCAAAAAAAGUUGCUGGGAAACCUGAAAAAUACAGCUCUACUCUUUGUCUCCUUUCUCUGGGUUGUGACAGAGGAAACACACAGCAAAGAGGCAGUCCAAUGUGGAACAUAGCUUGUGAAUCUUAAUUUUUAGAUACAUUUUAAAAACAUACCUUGGUUUUGUGUUAGAGGAUCAUCUGUAUAAUGUAGUAAUAAGGUAACAGUUUUUUUCUAAAAAUCAUUGGGUUAAAUCAAGUUGCCAGCCUGCAGGGUCAUGGGAUGGAGAGGAGGACGGAACAUACUGUUUUUGAAUAAUACUUGUGGCAGAGUUGUCCUGACACAGGUGACUUACCUGGGUUCAGUUGUUAACAUCUCAUAGGUCACUGUCUUGAUGAAGUGACAUAAUGUAUCUACAGAUACCAUGAAUCUUGAGCAAUACUACAGAAAUUCAAGACAUUACAAGUGUACAUAUGUUGAAUGGAUUUGAUUCUUUUAUUUCAUUGUGUGUAAUCAUUUCUCAUGACUACUGUGAAGUGAUUCAGGAAACAAGCCUUGCACUGGUCUUGUCUGCUCAGUGUUGGAUGUGAACUCUGACGCUGCUCCGAGCAGCGUUGCAUUGGCUGUCAUCUGCCUCUGACAGGCAAAAUGAUUCUCAGGGCUGAGGCUGGUUCUUCUGACUGAACUUCUCUGCUUUCUUCAGUGAGAUCCUCUUCUUCUGGAAGCUGGUUUCACAUGGUGGCUUAGAUUUUUCCAUCUUUGUAUCUAGCACCAUUUGAAAUCAGUGUUUUAGGAGUAAGAAUUGCAGCACAGCAGAGGGUAGACUACAGAGGAACAGCUGUACACAGGACUGCCUCUCUCCUUCAAGAAAUCAAGGGAAGACUUGAACAGUGGAAUUUGCUCUUGAGUCUGUUUGGUUUAGAGGAAGUGAUAGAAAGUUUUUGUGCUAGGAAUAAGUGUCAGGGUGUAAUCAGGGGCAAGGAGUGAUCCGGUUUAGCCAGCAUUCCAUGGGUGGAGGAGUGUGCCUUGGGCCUGCACUGUUCAUUGUCCAGUAAUGUUUCCGGUGUCGGUUGUAGCAAGGAAGGGGUGAGGGUUUUGUAUGCGGAGGACUGCUUUAUUCACAUCAGUACUGCCUGCCUCUACCUGGAAGAUCUGUGGAGCACUCAGUCCUGGUUGCAGCACAGCUGAAAUCAGACUGUCACCUGCCUUGAGAUUCAGACCUGAAGAACACCACUGGUCCAUCUCUUACACAGGCUGACCGAUUUCUCCUGGUGUUCAGAGUCUGUUUUUGUCUAGCACCAUUUGAAAUCGGUUAUGAUGUAGGGGGAAAAGCACCAGCCUCCGAGCCUUGUGGUGUCUGGUCAACAUCAGCCUGUCAUUUCCUACAUGGGCAGAGCAAAAAAGGAAGAUCACAGUUUCCGAACUUAAUGCAUAUGUAUGUAUGUGGCUGUAAAAGUUAAAGAUCACUUAGUGGGGUUUUUUAAUGUUACAAUCUAUUUUUGUAAAAUAUCCUCAGUUACAAUUUCUGACAUGUAGUACUGUUACAAACUAGUUGCUGUUGAACUGUCUGUUAAGUGUUGGCUUUAAUAAAUAAUUUGCUACAUUUAAUCUA
Molecule: long non-coding RNA, 13457 nt
Organism: Arvicanthis niloticus (Nile rat)
Lineage: Eukaryota; Metazoa; Chordata; Mammalia; Rodentia; Muridae
Source: RefSeq, a predicted model, not a curated record